CCUCCCCCCACUUUGCCCCUGCCACACCUUGUCUGUGUCUUUAAUACAUCCUUAUUGUCCACUUCUCCAUGCCCCCACCCACCGAAAAACCUUGUAAUGACGACUCGGAGACUUUGAUUCAGUUGCAAAUCUGAAGCUGGCAUUAGUGGACCUCAUGCUGUGAAAAAAAGAAAGUGUUUCAAGGCCUUGCCCCCGCAGCCUCCCCACCACCGCCUUCCAUCCCUGUUGGGUUGUUUGUGCAUGUGUGUUUCUCCCCGUUUCCUGCCUUUUCGUAGAUAUAAAGGCCGUUCUGGUGUCACUAAAAAUGACUAUAGUGUCCAGUGUCU
RNAcentral lists this long non-coding RNA (326 nucleotides) under Homo sapiens (human). RNAcentral describes it as "LHRI_LNC142.1". Lineage: Eukaryota; Metazoa; Chordata; Mammalia; Primates; Hominidae. The record is from RNAcentral.